UACAGGGGGUGCAAACGUUGCUCGGAAUUAUUGGGCGUAAAGCGCGCGUAGGCGGCCACUUAAGUCGGAUGUGAAAGCCCCUGGCUCAACUGGGGAAGUGCACCCGAAACUGAAUGGCUUGAAUGCAAAAGAGGGUCGCGGAAUUCCCGGUGUAGAGGUGAAAUUCGUAGAUAUCGGGAAGAACACCAGUGGCGAAGGCGGCUAUCUGGACGGUUUCUGACGCUAAGACGCGAAAGCGUGGGGAGCAAACAGG
RNAcentral lists this ribosomal RNA (253 nucleotides) under uncultured bacterium. RNAcentral's name for it is "partial 16S ribosomal RNA". It matches the Rfam family "Bacterial small subunit ribosomal RNA", at positions 524 to 776 of the family's 1533-position model. The record is from RNAcentral.